Molecule: ribosomal RNA, 459 nt
Filed under: uncultured archaeon
Lineage: Archaea
Description: bacterial SSU rRNA
Rfam family: Archaeal small subunit ribosomal RNA
Source: RNAcentral
CGCGGUAAUACUGGCAGAACGAGUGGUGCCCACGAAUAUUGGGUCUAAAGAGACCGUAGCUGGUCUGUUAAGUCCACUGUGAAAUCUUGGGGCUCAACCUCAAGGCGUGCAGUGGAUACUGGCAGACUUGAGAGCGGGGGAGGUCAGGGGUACUUACGGGGUAUGAGUAAAAUCAGUUGAUCCUGUAAGGACCACCAGUGGCGAAGGCGCCUGACCAAAACGCGUCUGACAGUGAGGGUCGAAGGCUAGGAGAACGAAUCGGAUUAGAUACCCGAGUAGCCCUAGCAGUAAAUUAUGCAGACUGUGGUGUUGCCAUGGCUUCGGGCCAUGGCAGUGCUGUAGCGUAGGUGUUAAGUCUGCCACCUGGGGAGUACGGCCGCAAGGUUGAAACUUAGAGGAAUUGGCGGGGGAGCACCACAAGGGGUGGAUGCUGCGGUUCAAUUGGAUCAACGCCGGGAA